This 939-nucleotide long non-coding RNA is filed under the name Mytilus galloprovincialis (Mediterranean mussel). The record is from RNAcentral. Lineage: Eukaryota; Metazoa; Mollusca; Bivalvia; Mytilida; Mytilidae.
GAGGCUGUAAACACUUUAUAUAAGAAAUUCCUGAUAACUUGACACUUUGUUCCUUUAAGUAAGUAGAUCAAAAUAAUGAAAUAAAAUUAGGGGUCACCGUCCAUUUAAGAGCUCCAUAGGUCACCGAAAAAAGAAGGUGAUUUUGCUAUUUUACAAAGGAAUAAUAGGGGAAAAUUGUGUGUUGACAUACUUACAUUUUAAUAACGGAUUCAAUUUAUAUAAGAUGUCGUUUAAAUUUGUUUUCCAACAAGCACAAGUAUAGUUUUACAUGUUAAGGUAAAAAACAAUAUAGGUCACCGUUGGUUUUAGAAAAAUAUUUCACAUUCUUUAUCCAAUUUUUCAUUUUUGGCGGGAAAAGACAAAGAGGGAAAAUAUCAUCUGCAUUACCUUCUUCUUAGAAAAUUUAAGAGAAUUAAAUUACAGAUUUCCAUGAAAAUAACUAUUCAAACAGAAUUGCAAGUGAAGUUCAGAAAAAAAAAAAAAAAAUUGGGGUGGGUCACAUUUUAGGAGCGAUAAAUCACUAAAAGUAUGAUACCAUGGCAACCGUUUUUUUUUAUAUAUAAUUUUUUUUCGUCCGUUUUCAGCCCGAAGUAUAUGCACUUAAAUCAUUAUGAUUUAUCAAGGUAUAAGAUCCUGUAGUGAAAUGCAGGUCAACAUUGGAUUUAAUGUUAUACAAUCAAAUCAUUAGGUCAAAGGUCAUAACAAUCAUAUUUUAAUUGUCAACCUAGGAUUGUAGGGAACGUUUUAGAUAAUUUUGGAAACAGAAUACCAAACGAUUAGAGUGAAAACUGAUUCACAUUUGCCAUUUAAGUCCCUUUUAUAUCUUGCUAAAUGGUAUAGGUUUUGCUCAUUUUUGAAGGCAGUACCAAUAGCUGUAAACUUCUUUGUGGUUUGGUCUCUGGUUUCAGUUGUCUGAUUGGCAAUCAUAUCAUUUCUCAU